RNAcentral lists this ribosomal RNA (119 nucleotides) under Danio rerio (zebrafish). Lineage: Eukaryota; Metazoa; Chordata; Actinopteri; Cypriniformes; Danionidae. The record is from RNAcentral.
CUUAACAGCCAUAUCACCCUGCAGCCCAAGACCGGUUACUCACUGAAGCUAAGCAGGGCUGAGCCUGGUCAGUACCUGGAUGGAAGAACACAUGGGAAAAAACUAGGUUGCUGUUGGAA